CCUACGGGAGGCAGCAGUGGGGAAUAUUGCACAAUGGGGGAAACCCUGAUGCAGCGACGCCGCGUGAGUGAAGAAGUAUUUCGGUAUGUAAAGCUCUAUCAGCAGGGAAGAAAUAAAGUCCUUCGGACUUUGGACGGUACCUGACUAAGAAGCCCCGGCUAAAUACGUGCCAGUAGCCGCGGUAAUACGUAGGGGGCAAGCGUUAUCCGGAUUGACUGGGUGUAAAGGGAGCGUAGACGGCAGCGCAAGUCUGGAGUGAAAUCCCAUGGCUUAACCAUGGAACUGCUUUGGAAACUGUGCAGCUGGAGUGCAGGAGAGGUAAGCGGAAUUCCUAGUGUAGCGGUGAAAUGCGUAGAUAUUAGGAGGAACACCAGUGGCGAAGGCGGCUUACUGGACUGUAACUGACGUUGAGGCUCGAAAGCGUGGGGAGCAAACAGGAUUAGAUACCCUUGUAGUC
RNAcentral lists this ribosomal RNA (457 nucleotides) under uncultured bacterium. RNAcentral describes it as "partial 16S ribosomal RNA". It matches the Rfam family "Bacterial small subunit ribosomal RNA", at positions 338 to 795 of the family's 1533-position model. The record is from RNAcentral.